Molecule: ribosomal RNA, 404 nt
Filed under: Actinomycetes bacterium
Lineage: Bacteria; Bacillati; Actinomycetota; Actinomycetes
Description: Actinobacteria bacterium partial 16S ribosomal RNA
Rfam family: Bacterial small subunit ribosomal RNA
Source: RNAcentral
UGGGGAAUAUUGGACAAUGGGCGCAAGCCUGAUCCAGCCAUGCCGCGUGAGUGAUGAAGGCCCUAGGGUUGUAAAGCUCUUUCACCGGUGAAGAUAAUGACGGUAACCGGAGAAGAAGCCCCGGCUAACAUCGUGCCAGCAGCCGCGGUAAUACGAAGGGGGCUAGCGUUGUUCGGAUUUACUGGGCGUAAAGCGCACGUAGGCGGACUUUUAAGUCAGGGGUGAAAUACCGGGGCUCAACCCCGGAACUGCCUUUGAUACUGGAAGUCUUGAGUAUGGUAGAGGUGAGUGGAAUUCCGAGUGUAGAGGUGAAAUUCGUAGAUAUUCGGGGGAACACCAGUGGCGAAGGCGGCUCACUGAACCAUUACUGACGCUGAGGUGCGAAAGCGUGGGGAGCAAACAGG